CAGAAUCCUUCAGCGACUUCAGACCGAGAAGCGAGUAACCAUCAUGAAGACUCUGAGCCUCCUCGCUCUGCUGGUGGGCGCCGUUGCCAUCGCGGAAGGAUACCCAUCUGAGGAGGAGCAUGAGGACAUAGCCAAUUCUCGGCAGAAGAGAGAAAUGCCCGAAGAAUACAUGGAGGGAGACAUGGAGGACAUGUUUGGUCCCCCGCCCGGCGGAGUUGUCGUCAUGGU
Molecule: long non-coding RNA, 228 nt
Filed under: Penaeus japonicus
Lineage: Eukaryota; Metazoa; Arthropoda; Malacostraca; Decapoda; Penaeidae
Description: uncharacterized LOC122260616
Source: RNAcentral